CAAUAGCGUAUAUUUAAGUUGUUGCAGUUAAAAGCUCGUAGUUGGAUUUCGGUUGAGAGCGGCCGGUCCGCCGUUUGGUGUGCACUGGCUGGUCUCAACUUCCUGCGGAGGACGCGCUCUGGGCUUAACGGUCUGGACGUGGAGUCCGCGUGGUUACUUUGAAAAAUUAGAGUGUUCAAAGCGGGCUUACGCUUGAAUAUUUCAGCAUGGAAUAACACUAUAGGACUCUGGUGCUAUUUUGUUGGUUUCGAACACCGGAGUAAUGAUUAAAAGGGGCAGUCAGGGGCACUCGUAUUCCGUCGAGAGAGGUGAAAUUCUCAGACCAAUGGAAGACGAACCACUGCGAAAGCAUUUGCCAGGGAUGUUUUCACUGAUCAAGAACGAAAGUUAGGGGAUCGAAGAUGAUCAGAUACCAU
This 416-nucleotide ribosomal RNA is filed under the name uncultured eukaryote. RNAcentral's name for it is "bacterial SSU rRNA". It matches the Rfam family "Eukaryotic small subunit ribosomal RNA", at positions 592 to 1018 of the family's 1831-position model. The record is from RNAcentral.